AUAGCAUGUCAGAAGGCAGACCCGGAGAACUGAAACAUCUUAGUACCCGGAGGAAGAGAAAGAAAAAUCGAUUCCCUGAGUAGCGGCGAGCGAAACGGGAAGAGCCCAAACCAACAAGCUUGCUUGUUGGGGUUGUAGGACACUCUAUACGGAGUUACAAAAGAACAUGUUAGACGAAUCAUCUGGAAAGAUGAAUCAAAGAAGGUAAUAAUCCUGUAGUCGAAAACAUAUUCUCUCUUGAGUGGAUCCUGAGUACGACGGAGCACGUGAAAUUCCGUCGGAAUCUGGGAGGACCAUCUCCUAAGGCUAAAUACUCUCUAGUGACCGAUAGUGAACCAGUACCGUGAGGGAAAGGUGAAAAGUACCCCGGAAGGGGAGUGAAAGAGAACUUGAAACCGUGUGCUUACAAGUAGUCAGAGCCCGUUAAUGGGUGAUGGCGUGCCUUUUGUAGAAUGAACCGGCGAGUUACGAUCUGAUGCAAGGUUAAGCAGCAAAUGUGGAGCCGCAGCGAAAGCGAGUCUGAAUAGGGCGUUGAGUAUUUGGUCGUAGACCCGAAACCAGGUGAUCUACCCUUGGUCAGGUUGAAGUUCAGGUAACACUGAAUGGAGGACCGAACCGACUUACGUUGAAAAGUGAGCGGAUGAACUGAGGGUAGCGGAGAAAUUCCAAUCGAACUUGGAGAUAGCUGGUUCUCUCCGAAAUAGCUUUAGGGCUAGCCUCAAGUGAUGAUUAUUGGAGGUAGAGCACUGUUUGGACGAGGGGCCCCUCUCGGGUUACCGAAUUCAGACAAACUCCGAAUGCCAAUUAAUUUAACUUGGGAGUCAGAACAUGGGUGAUAAGGUCCGUGUUCGAAAGGGAAACAGCCCAGACCACCAGCUAAGGUCCCAAAAUAUAUGUUAAGUGGAAAAGGAUGUGGCGUUGCCCAGACAACUAGGAUGUUGGCUUAGAAGCAGCCAUCAUUUAAAGAGUGCGUAAUAGCUCACUAGUCGAGUGACACUGCGCCGAAAAUGUACCGGGGCUAAACAUAUUACCGAAGCUGUGGAUUGUCCUUUGGACAAUGGUAGGAGAGCGUUCUAAGGGCGUCGAAGCAUGAUCGCAAGGACAUGUGGAGCGCUUAGAAGUGAGAAUGCCGGUGUGAGUAGCGAAAGACGGGUGAGAAUCCCGUCCACCGAUUGACUAAGGUUUCCAGAGGAAGGCUCGUCCGCUCUGGGUUAGUCGGGUCCUAAGCUGAGGCCGACAGGCGUAGGCGAUGGAUAACAGGUUGAUAUUCCUGUACCACCUAGUAUCGUUUUAAUCGAUGGGGGGACGCAGUAGGAUAGGCGAAGCGUGCUGUUGGAGUGCACGUCCAAGCAGUAAGGCUGAGUGUUAGGCAAAUCCGGCACUCAUAAGGCUGAGCUGUGAUGGGGAGAGGAAAUUGUUUCCUCGAGUCGUUGAUUUCACACUGCCGAGAAAAGCCUCUAGAUAGAUAACAGGUGCCCGUACCGCAAACCGACACAGGUAGUCAAGAUGAGAAUUCUAAGGUGAGCGAGCGAACUCUCGUUAAGGAACUCGGCAAAAUGACCCCGUAACUUCGGGAGAAGGGGUGCUCUUUAGGGUUCACGCCCAGAAGAGCCGCAGUGAAUAGGCCCAAGCGACUGUUUAUCAAAAACACAGGUCUCUGCUAAACCGUAAGGUGAUGUAUAGGGGCUGACGCCUGCCCGGUGCUGGAAGGUUAAGAGGAGUGGUUAGCUUCUGCGAAGCUACGAAUCGAAGCCCCAGUAAACGGCGGCCGUAACUAUAACGGUCCUAAGGUAGCGAAAUUCCUUGUCGGGUAAGUUCCGACCCGCACGAAAGGCGUAACGAUUUGGGCACUGUCUCAACGAGAGACUCGGUGAAAUCAUAGUACCUGUGAAGAUGCAGGUUACCCGCGACAGGACGGAAAGACCCCGUGGAGCUUUACUGUAGCCUGAUAUUGAAAUUCGGCACAGCUUGUACAGGAUAGGUAGGAGCCUUUGAAACGUGAGCGCUAGCUUACGUGGAGGCGUUGGUGGGAUACUACCCUAGCUGUGUUGGCUUUCUAACCCGCACCACUUAUCGUGGUGGGAGACAGUGUCAGGCGGGCAGUUUGACUGGGGCGGUCGCCUCCUAAAAGGUAACGGAGGCGCUCAAAGGUUCCCUCAGAAUGGUUGGAAAUCAUUCAUAGAGUGUAAAGGCAUAAGGGAGCUUGACUGCGAGACCUACAAGUCGAGCAGGGUCGAAAGACGGACUUAGUGAUCCGGUGGUUCCGCAUGGAAGGGCCAUCGCUCAACGGAUAAAAGCUACCCCGGGGAUAACAGGCUUAUCUCCCCCAAGAGUUCACAUCGACGGGGAGGUUUGGCACCUCGAUGUCGGCUCAUCGCAUCCUGGGGCUGUAGUCGGUCCCAAGGGUUGGGCUGUUCGCCCAUUAAAGCGGUACGCGAGCUGGGUUCAGAACGUCGUGAGACAGUUCGGUCCCUAUCCGUCGUGGGCGUAGGAAAUUUGAGAGGAGCUGUCCUUAGUACGAGAGGACCGGGAUGGACAUACCUCUGGUGUACCAGUUGUCGUGCCAACGGCAUAGCUGGGUAGCUAUGUAUGGACGGGAUAAGUGCUGAAAGCAUCUAAGCAUGAAGCCCCCCUCAAGAUGAGAUUUCCCAACUUCGGUUAUAAGAUCCCUCGAAGAUGACGAGGUUAAUAGGUUCGAGGUGGAAGCGUGGUGACACGUGGAGCUGACGAAUACUAAUCGAUCGAAGACUUAAUCAAUUUUUAAA
RNAcentral lists this ribosomal RNA (2765 nucleotides) under Staphylococcus epidermidis. RNAcentral describes it as "partial 23S ribosomal RNA". It matches the Rfam family "Bacterial large subunit ribosomal RNA". RNAcentral also lists the same sequence under 1 other name. The record is from RNAcentral. Lineage: Bacteria; Bacillati; Bacillota; Bacilli; Caryophanales; Staphylococcaceae.